Molecule: unclassified non-coding RNA, 350 nt
Filed under: Hevea brasiliensis (rubber tree)
Lineage: Eukaryota; Viridiplantae; Streptophyta; Magnoliopsida; Malpighiales; Euphorbiaceae
Source: RNAcentral
CACUAAUCUCAUCUUCCUCAUCAAUCUCACAGAUUGGUGGGUUGACCCCAAGACCUAAUAGCAACCGCUUUACUACAUGGCUCAUGCAGCACCCACGCCUAGCAAACACUAUAAUCGCAUUCUCUUGAACCAUAGUGGCCAUAUUUUUAGACCCUUUUAAGACUUGUUUAGUAUCAACAAGAUUAUUAGUAGAGGUGUUGGCUAGAGGAUUGUUGGUGUUGGUGUAUAAGGGCACCCAAGACUUGUAAGGGAUUGCUUGUUGCAUCUUUGCUUAGCUGGAGAUGAACAAAUCAAUGAAAAAACAGAGAGAGAGAGAGAGAGAUUUGAAAUGGGCAAAGGGUAGUUUGUGU